This is a non-coding RNA of Saimiri boliviensis boliviensis (Bolivian squirrel monkey), 1960 nucleotides long. Lineage: Eukaryota; Metazoa; Chordata; Mammalia; Primates; Cebidae. The record is from RefSeq and is a predicted model, not a curated record.
AUGCAGAGGGAGCUAGAGAGCUGCCUAAGAAGAGAGUACACCCCUGAAAAUUUACCUUUGCUUCUGUUGCAGAAACGAGUUGGCUACAUUAUGCAGGAGAAUAAUGAUGUCCUUCAGAGAGCUGAAAGAUUGUCUGUUGCUCGAGGAAACUUCCUUAUGGGAAAAAACAAUCCUCCUAACUUAGUGACACAGAAAGAUCUUACUAUUUACACAAAGUGGACCCGGUAUGACCCUGAAAAAGAGAGCCCACUGGAUUUCCUUCGUAAAGGUAAAGUGACUCGUGGUGAUAGUCAUCUGUCAGUGAUGUCAGCAGUGUCUCAGUGUCGUCUAAGCAGAUCAAGCCAAAAUAUGAUCUGUGGCAAAAGAAGCUUUUGGCUAAAUCGAAAGAAUGGAGAAGAACAGAUGUGUUAUUGUAACUCCAGGCAGUUUUUCAAGGCCACCUGCAUGUCCAGCAGUACUUUUGUGGUUUGUUUAGUCAGUUCUUCAAAUGUGUUCCACUGUAACUUGACGUCACUUUCUGUCCUGUCCUAUGUAAUUCCGGAGAACCUGGUCCCCACCAUGGAAGAUAGUUCCUGGGUAAAUAUGGCAAAAGGAGGUCUGGUCACAUCACAGGGCCUGGGCGCUCACCACUACGUCCAUGAGACGCCCGCCGAGCACAAGCCUCUACCUUAUCACAAGGGCAGAGGGCCAGUGUGGCAGCUUUCUGUAUCCCAAGCUCUUGCCCAGUGUCCUGGAAGAAUCCGAUCACAUGCGGGUUGGAAGGAUGAGUGCAAGGUCCACAGCGUCCAAUUCAUGGAGUUCUCGGAAGUGGAGAACCAGGGUGACUCCUACAGCACGAAAGCCAGCUGUAUCCACACCCAGGACCAGCAAGGGGUGCAUGUCAUGUAUGAGGAAGCCCUAAGCGAUCUGAAGGGACUAGAGGCGGUGUUCCUGCUUGUGGCCAGCCAUUACACUGAGAAAGAAAAAUGUCACAAAGUGGGCACCCAGCCAAAGAGUGGUCAGGACUGGGCAUGGGCCCAUGCAGGUGUGGACAGGUUUGCUGUGCUGUAUGACAUGUGGACUCAGGAAGCAGCUUUUCUGGAAAACAAAUGCCAGAGUUUUGACAGUUACUUUGAAGCCUACCAGCACAUGUUGGACGCUGAAGAGAGGUUCGCCUUAGCACAAGUGAUGAUGGAUAUCACGCACCGGUGCCCGAGGUAUGAUCUCAGCUACACCUAUUUCAUUAAGGCCUACUGGGAGGAAUUCAUCUGCCUGAGGCUUCACCUGCAGUUAGUGAGAGGUCUCCUCAACCAGCAUGUAGAGUGUCAGCGGGAGUAUGUCCAGAGGCUUUGGUGAGAGGAUCAUCUGGACAAUAGCAAUACCUUUGGACUUCCCCUUAAUAUAGUUUGCAAACAACUUAUUUCCAUCAACAAUAGCCACCCGGCUUUGAAAAAUGUUUACCUGCUGGAGUUCCACCCUUCCCUCAGCCUGGCAGCGCUUAUCCCCAGAGCCCUAGAGUAUCUCCUUCAAGAGGUCUGCCAUACCUGCAAACCUGCAUUAGCGGUUGCCUUGCCUCCCUGGAGUGACAUGUCCUGCAGCUGGCCCUGGACCUGUGGCUCACCCCAGCCAAGCCUGAGGCCUGGUACAGUAGCACAGCUCCAGAAAGAUCUGUUUUCAGCUAAAGUUAUGAGAGAUCCGUUUCUCGUGGGGGAGAUAGGCCUGGUGGCACUCAACUCUGCAGCAGUCAAAGGACAGAAACAAGGCCAAGACUCUCAUGUGCUACUCUUGGAGAUGUUUUCCAAGCUUCUCAAGCUCUUGACCCUCUGUGACCGGCUAAUAGAAAUGAGCCUGGAGAGUGCACACUUAGCUGGGUCGGGGUGGUCAGAGGACCCAGGUGGAAUAUAAAGUGUGCAGCAAAACAUGGGAAAGAGGCCAUGAGACUCCCUGCCUACAAGCCUGCCCCCUCUCUGCUCCCAGAGCA